GACACGGAGCUUGCUCUGUGGGAUCAGUGGCGAACGGGUGAGUAACACGUGAGCAACCUGCCCCUGACUCUGGGAUAAGCGCUGGAAACGGCGUCUAAUACUGGAUAUGUGACGUGACCGCAUGGUCUGCGUCUGGAAAGAAUUUCGGUUGGGGAUGGGCUCGCGGCCUAUCAGCUUGUUGGUGAGGUAAUGGCUCACCAAGGCGUCGACGGGUAGCCGGCCUGAGAGGGUGACCGGCCACACUGGGACUGAGACACGGCCCAGACUCCUACGGGAGGCAGCAGUGGGGAAUAUUGCACAAUGGGCGCAAGCCUGAUGCAGCAACGCCGCGUGAGGGACGACGGCCUUCGGGUUGUAAACCUCUUUUAGCAGGGAAGAAGCGAAAGUGACGGUACCUGCAGAAAAAGCGCCGGCUAACUACGUGCCAGCAGCCGCGGUAAUACGUAGGGCGCAAGCGUUAUCCGGAAUUAUUGGGCGUAAAGAGCUCGUAGGCGGUUUGUCGCGUCUGCUGUGAAAUCCGGAGGCUCAACCUCCGGCCUGCAGUGGGUACGGGCAGACUAGAGUGCGGUAGGGGAGAUUGGAAUUCCUGGUGUAGCGGUGGAAUGCGCAGAUAUCAGGAGGAACACCGAUGGCGAAGGCAGAUCUCUGGGCCGUAACUGACGCUGAGGAGCGAAAGGGUGGGGAGCAAACAGGCUUAGAUACCCUGGUAGUCCACCCCGUAAACGUUGGGAACUAGUUGUGGGGUCCAUUCCACGGAUUCCGUGACGCAGCUAACGCAUUAAGUUCCCCGCCUGGGGAGUACGGCCGCAAGGCUAAAACUCAAAGGAAUUGACGGGGACCCGCACAAGCGGCGGAACAUGCGGAUUAAUUCGAUGCAACGCGAAGAACCUUACCAGGCUUGACUAUACGAGAACGGGCCAAAAUGGUCACUCUUUGGACCUCG
RNAcentral lists this ribosomal RNA (943 nucleotides) under Microbacterium oxydans. RNAcentral describes it as "bacterial SSU rRNA". It matches the Rfam family "Bacterial small subunit ribosomal RNA", at positions 70 to 1030 of the family's 1533-position model. The record is from RNAcentral. Lineage: Bacteria; Bacillati; Actinomycetota; Actinomycetes; Micrococcales; Microbacteriaceae.